GAUAAACGCUAGCGGCAAGCUUCAUACAUGCAAGUCGAGGGGCAGCAGCAUACUUCGGUAUGGCUGGCGACCGGCGAACGGGUGCGUAACACGUACGUAAUUUACCUUGUACAAGGGAAUAGCUUUUAGAAAUGAAAAUUAAUACCCUAUAUUAUCUUUUUAUCGCAUGAUAAAAAGAUGAAAGCUCAAGCGGUACAAGAUAAGCGUGCGUCCUAUUAGCUAAAUGUUGGUGAGGUAAUGGCUCACCAAGGCAACGAUAGGUAGGGGGUCUGAGAGGAUUAUCCCCCACACUGGCACUGAGAUACGGGCCAGACUUCUACGGAAGGCAGCAGUAAGGAAUCUUGGGCAAUGGGCGCAAGCCUGACCCAGCUAUGCCGCGUGCAGGAAGAAAGUUCCAUUGGAAUUGUAAACUGCUUUUAUAUAGAAUAAAUAAGUCUCUGCGGAGACCUAUGAUAGUACUAUAAGAAUAAGCACCGGCUAACUCCG
RNAcentral lists this ribosomal RNA (486 nucleotides) under uncultured Bacteroidota bacterium. Its description in RNAcentral is "bacterial SSU rRNA". It matches the Rfam family "Bacterial small subunit ribosomal RNA", at positions 28 to 505 of the family's 1533-position model. Lineage: Bacteria; Pseudomonadati; Bacteroidota. The record is from RNAcentral.